RNAcentral lists this ribosomal RNA (508 nucleotides) under uncultured bacterium. RNAcentral describes it as "partial 16S ribosomal RNA". It matches the Rfam family "Bacterial small subunit ribosomal RNA", at positions 30 to 523 of the family's 1533-position model. The record is from RNAcentral.
AUUGAACGCUGGCGGCAGGCCUAACACAUGCAAGUCGAGCGGCAGCGGGAAAGUAGCUUGCUACUUUUGCCGGCGAGCGGCGGACGGGUGAGUAAUGCCUGGGAAAUUGCCCAGUCGAGGGGGAUAACAGUUGGAAACGACUGCUAAUACCGCAUACGCCCUACGGGGGAAAGCAGGGGACCUUCGGGCCUUGCGCGAUUGGAUAUGCCCAGGUGGGAUUAGCUAGUUGGUGAGGUAAUGGCUCACCAAGGCGACGAUCCCUAGCUGGUCUGAGAGGAUGAUCACCCACACUGGACCUGAGACCCGGUCCAGACUCCUACGGGAGGCAGCAGUGGGGAAUAUUGCACAAUGGGGGAAACCCUGAUGCAGCCAUGCCGCGUGUGUGAAGAAGGCCUUCGGGUUGUAAAGCACUUUCAGCGAGGAGGAAAGGUUGAUGCCUAAUACGUAUCAACUGUGACGUUACUCGCAGAAGAAGCACCGGCUAACUCCGUGCCAGCAGCCGCCGUAA